UACAGGGGGGGCAAGCGUUGUUCGGAAUUACUGGGCGUAAAGGGUCUGUAGGUGGCCAACUAAGUCAGACGUGAAAUCCCUCAGCUUAACUGGGGAACUGCGUCUGAUACUGGAUGGCUCGAGUGUGGGAGAGGAAUGCGGAAUUCCAGGUGUAGCGGUGAAAUACGUAGAUAUCUGGAGGAACACCGGUGGCGAAGGCGGCAUUCUGGACCAUAACUGACACUGAGAGACGAAAGCCAGGGGAGCAAACGGG
Molecule: ribosomal RNA, 253 nt
Filed under: uncultured bacterium
Lineage: Bacteria
Description: partial 16S ribosomal RNA
Rfam family: Bacterial small subunit ribosomal RNA
Source: RNAcentral